UCAGGACUGUCUAUGAAAAAAUUUUCAUCGAAAUUAGUCAAAAAUUGAAGCCACGAUACAACAACCUUGACUAUCUGCAGUGAAAACCGUAGGCUAAUGCAGUAGAGUGGCGAUAUUGAAAUUCAUUGUAGCGAAUUAAGCCACGAUUUUCAUUCCGUGACAAGCGAUUUUGUGGCUCUUGACCAUAAAAAGUGCUGGGGUUGAAUGAGCUGAAAAAAAUCAUUACCUGAAGCGCAAAUGAGAACAGUAUUGCUGAGAAUUUCCGAGAGCAUGAUGACCUUGACAACAGUCUCCAUACAAUUUCCCAGCAGAAUCAAGUGAUUAUGUCGUUAUGUGUAAGACAGCACUGAACAUGAAUGGAACGUAUCCUGCAUAUGUAGCUGCUGCGAAGACUGUAGCGAUGACGUUGAAGUAGUAGUAAAGUAAAUAAACACUGCGGGACAUCGUGAUUGGAAUCCAACAGGAAGGUGCCAGUAUGAGAUGUCUUAUCAAUGAACUAUUGUUUUCAGAAAUUUCACUUUUCAUGGUCGGAGGAUCAGACCAAACUGUUAAUAUCAUAGCUGAAGCUAUUGGUGCAGUUUGCAAUACAAAAGCCAAACGUCCCCAAUACGCAUAACGUCGCAUGAUAUUCAAUGAUUUUUUCCCCCUAAUAUUUAACCAAUCAUGAAUUGUCGAUGAAAUAAUGUAACGCAUUUGUUGUUGAUGAAAUGAAAGAGUAAGAAUUUUGAUCACAGCUAUGGAAAAUACCAUGAGACCGGUCAUGGUAUCCACUAAAUCGGUUAUUCCUCCACAAGAACCCUUAGUUAGUAACUGGGUCAGUGAUAAUGCAUUGUCAAUCAUCUGCAUCAAGUUUGGUAUCAUGACAACAGUAUAUGAUAUAUCAUGGGCUUUCUUACCAGCGUUAGAACAAUACUACCAGUUUGCAAGAUACGUAAAACUUCAUUGUCCUGCCAUGGCCAGAUGCCUAAUGCUUUACACCACCAUUUCGAAAAAACGAGAGCAUAAUGCACAUCCAAGUUCCACUGCAAAUGUAAUUCUUUAUCGUAUUCCAUGGGUAUAGAUGUUUCUGCAAACGUAUUUUCUGAAGAACAACCAGACGAUAUACAAUUUUUAUAUAACAGCACAUACACUGUACUGCUGGUAUGUUCACUACUCCUUCACAUGUUCAUUAUUCAUCUGGACAGCACUCGAGUUUUGUCUGAGUAUCGACCACUAUCGUAUAACAUAUUUAUGAUAGUUUUUACAUAUUUAGAUUCCCUGGGUAAAGAAUAGAAAACAAGUGUGCAAGCACCAUCAGUGGUUGUGCACCGAACAUCCCUUAUUGUAUUAAUUAUUUAGCUUCAUGCAAUUUGGAUUAAAUUUAUAUCCAACCAUUGACCAAAUCUUAUGGGUUAGUCAUGAUAAUGCUCACUUUUUUAGUUCACUUGAAUGAAUAAUUUAAUACUACUGCUGCUGGGCGUAUUUUUUUGCAUCAAUAAAUCAUGCAUAAUUACGUCUCACAAAUAUAUGAGGAUAUUACCAUGCACUGAAGAAGUACUGCGUGGAAGAGGGGAGUGUCGCAGAGCAGUCGAAGGAGGAACCUUAACUUAGUUCAAUGUUGCUGUUACCGAGCGUUAUCCAAACGUCAAAGAUUUUAGGAGAUCAACCCUUCGAGUGUUUUAUUUGCUGUAAAAAGGACGGUGGAGAAAAUACUGGAGGUAUUAAUUACUAUUAAUUAAUGACUAUCACAAUAAUAACAUAUUCCUCAAUAAUUAUUCUGGGAUUAAUAAAUAUCUGUGAUACCCGUUUGUAAACCCGUGCUCCAGCAAAUUCUUACCUCUCCCCCCUAACCCGUUACCAUACACUCAUGACUACAUCACGAAGGGCACCACGGGACGAGACGUCACUGACGAUUCGUCGAGGAAUCCUCCCCCCAACAAGAAGAACAAAGAGGAAAGUGAGACGCAUGCCACGACGAGCAUUUCCAUUUGGACCUCCCCCCCUCCCCCGAAACCUGUCGUUUAGAAAAGCUGUAUUAAUUAAGAAGUUUGAAGAAGAAGAAUUGGAGAGGAGAAGAAACAGGUGACGAAGGAGGAUAAUUGUCUGCAGGAGAAUUGUGGUUGAUGAAGAAUAACCUGUGGAGAAGACGGUUACGUGGCUGCGAGGAGGUGUGAAGUUGGACACCUGAAGUUUUUUUGUCUCGUGGAGUUGGUUCAGAACUUGGAAAAUCCCCAGAACUUGCCCUCACUUUCAACAUAAUCAUAUUGUAAGGGAAAAUUUCCGAACAUUAGCGACUCGGUUGAGAGAUAUUAAUUAUAAUAUUUCUCACGGAUAGAUCACGGUAUGUAGGAUCAGAAAUAAAAUGUGC
Molecule: long non-coding RNA, 2347 nt
Organism: Diachasmimorpha longicaudata
Lineage: Eukaryota; Metazoa; Arthropoda; Insecta; Hymenoptera; Braconidae
Exons: 3
Source: RefSeq, a predicted model, not a curated record